Molecule: ribosomal RNA, 264 nt
Filed under: uncultured archaeon
Lineage: Archaea
Description: partial 16S ribosomal RNA
Rfam family: Archaeal small subunit ribosomal RNA
Source: RNAcentral
ACAUUAGACUACCCCUGUACGUCCCAGCCGUAAACUAUGCGCGUUAGGUGUAUCGGUGACCACGAGUUACCGAGGUGCCGAAGGGAAGCCGUAGAAGCGAGCCACCGUGGGAAAGUACGGGCCGACAAGGCUAGAAACUUAAAGGAAUUGGCGGGGAGCACCACAACAGGUGGAGCCUGCGGUUUAAUUGGACUCAACGCCGGGAAGCUCACCGGAUAGGACAGCAGAACGAUUGCCGGGCUGAAGACCCUGCAUGACUAGCUG